RNAcentral lists this transfer RNA (68 nucleotides) under Vertigo pusilla. Its description in RNAcentral is "tRNA-Glu". The record is from RNAcentral. Lineage: Eukaryota; Metazoa; Mollusca; Gastropoda; Stylommatophora; Vertiginidae.
GUUACUAUAGUAUAAAACUUAAUACAGUAUUUUUUCGUAAUACAAAUAUGAAAAUUUCAUUAAUAACC